AUACGGAGGGUGCAAACGUUGCUCGGAAUCAUUGGGCGUAAAGCGCACGUAGGCGGUUCGGUAAGUCGGAUGUGAAAGCCCUAGGCUUAACCAAGGAAGUGCAUUCGAAACUGCCAAACUUGAGUAUGGGAGAGGGUUGCGGAAUUCUCGGUGAAGAGGUGAAAUUCGUAGAUAUCGGGAGGAACACCAGUGGCGAAGGCGGCAACCUGGACCAAUACUGACGCUGAGGUGCGAAAGCGUGGGGAGCAAACAGGAUUAGAAACCCUAGUAGUCC
RNAcentral lists this ribosomal RNA (274 nucleotides) under uncultured bacterium. RNAcentral's name for it is "partial 16S ribosomal RNA". It matches the Rfam family "Bacterial small subunit ribosomal RNA", at positions 523 to 796 of the family's 1533-position model. The record is from RNAcentral.